GGAUUAGAUACCCUGGUAGUCCACGCCGUAAACGAUGUCUGCUAGCCGUUGGCGACUUUAAGUUGCUAGUGGCGCAGCUAACGCGAUAAGCAGACCGCCUGGGGAGUACGGCCGCAAGGUUAAAACUCAAAUGAAUUGACGGGGGCCCGCACAAGCGGUGGAGCAUGUGGUUUAAUUCGAUGCAACGCGAAGAACCUUACCAGGUCUUGACAUCCCGAGAAGUCGCUAGAGAUAGCUUCGUGCCUUCGGGAAUUCGGUGACAGGUGCUGCAUGGCUGUCGUCAGCUCGUGCCG
This 293-nucleotide ribosomal RNA is filed under the name uncultured bacterium. RNAcentral's name for it is "partial 16S ribosomal RNA". It matches the Rfam family "Bacterial small subunit ribosomal RNA", at positions 775 to 1067 of the family's 1533-position model. The record is from RNAcentral.